This 279-nucleotide ribosomal RNA is filed under the name uncultured Arcanobacterium sp. RNAcentral describes it as "partial 16S ribosomal RNA". It matches the Rfam family "Bacterial small subunit ribosomal RNA", at positions 76 to 356 of the family's 1533-position model. Lineage: Bacteria; Bacillati; Actinomycetota; Actinomycetes; Actinomycetales; Actinomycetaceae. The record is from RNAcentral.
CUUGCUUGGGGUACUCGAGUGGCGAACGGGUGAGUAAUACGUGGGUAACCUGCCCUCUUCUUUGGGAUAAGCCCUGGAAACGGGGUCUAAUACCGGAUAUUCUGCUUCUGCCGCAUGGUGGGGGUUGGAAAGGUUUUUCGGUGGGGGAUGGGCCCGCGGCCUAUCAGCUUGUUGGUGGGGUGAUGGCCUACCAAGGCUUCGACGGGUAGCCGGCCUGAGAGGGUGACCGGCCACAUUGGGACUGAGAUACGGCCCAGACUCCUACGGGAGGCAGCAGCG